This 433-nucleotide ribosomal RNA is filed under the name Streptococcus sp. oral taxon 064. Its description in RNAcentral is "bacterial SSU rRNA". It matches the Rfam family "Bacterial small subunit ribosomal RNA", at positions 28 to 453 of the family's 1533-position model. Lineage: Bacteria; Bacillati; Bacillota; Bacilli; Lactobacillales; Streptococcaceae. The record is from RNAcentral.
GACGAACGCUGGCGGCGUGCCUAAUACAUGCAAGUAGAACGCUGAAGGAGGAGCUUGCUCUUCUGGAUGAGUUGCGAACGGGUGAGUAACGCGUAGGUAACCUGCCUGGUAGCGGGGGAUAACUAUUGGAAACGAUAGCUAAUACCGCAUAAUAGUAGAUGUUGCAUGACAUUUGCUUAAAAGGUGCAAUUGCAUCACUACCAGAUGGACCUGCGUUGUAUUAGCUAGUUGGUGAGGUAACGGCUCACCAAGGCAACGAUACAUAGCCGACCUGAGAGGGUGAUCGGCCACACUGGGACUGAGACACGGCCCAGACUCCUACGGGAGGCAGCAGUAGGGAAUCUUCGGCAAUGGACGGAAGUCUGACCGAGCAACGCCGCGUGAGUGAAGAAGGUUUUCGGAUCGUAAAGCUCUGUUGUAAGAGAAGAACGAG